This 686-nucleotide ribosomal RNA is filed under the name uncultured Bacteroidales bacterium. RNAcentral's name for it is "bacterial SSU rRNA". It matches the Rfam family "Bacterial small subunit ribosomal RNA", at positions 61 to 734 of the family's 1533-position model. The record is from RNAcentral. Lineage: Bacteria; Pseudomonadati; Bacteroidota; Bacteroidia; Bacteroidales.
GUCGAGGGGCAGCAUGGUCUUAGCUUGCUAAGGCUGAUGGCGACCGGCGCACGGGUGAGUAACACGUAUCCAACCUGCCGUCUACUCUUGGCCAGCCUUCUGAAAGGAAGAUUAAUCCAGGAUGGGAUCAUGAGUUCACAUGUCCGCAUGAUUAAAGGUAUUUUCCGGUAGACGAUGGGGAUGCGUUCCAUUAGAUAGUAGGCGGGGUAACGGCCCACCUAGUCAACGAUGGAUAGGGGUUCUGAGAGGAAGGUCCCCCACAUUGGAACUGAGACACGGUCCAAACUCCUACGGGAGGCAGCAGUGAGGAAUAUUGGUCAAUGGGCGAUGGCCUGAACCAGCCAAGUAGCGUGAAGGAUGACUGCCCUAUGGGUUGUAAACUUCUUUUAUAAAGGAAUAAAGUCGGGUAUGCAUACCCGUUUGCAUGUACUUUAUGAAUAAGGAUCGGCUAACUCCGUGCCAGCAGCCGCGGUAAUACGGAGGAUCCGAGCGUUAUCCGGAUUUAUUGGGUUUAAAGGGAGCGUAGAUGGAUGUUUAAGUCAGUUGUGAAAGUUUGCGGCUCAACCGUAAAAUUGCAGUUGAUACUGGAUGUCUUGAGUGCAGUUGAGGCAGGCGGAAUUCGUGGUGUAGCGGUGAAAUGCUUAGAUAUCACGAAGAACUCCGAUUGCGAAGGCAGCCUGCUAAGC